RNAcentral lists this long non-coding RNA (565 nucleotides) under Homo sapiens (human). RNAcentral's name for it is "non-protein coding GMDS-DT:110". The record is from RNAcentral. Lineage: Eukaryota; Metazoa; Chordata; Mammalia; Primates; Hominidae.
CCAAAGAGAGCAAUGCAACUCUGGCAGUAGCAAAAAUGUUGUGCCUCUCCUUUCCUCACUCCUAAUUUCCCAUCCCAGAGAAGGGUCAGAAACCAUCUUCUGCAAGAUGGGAGGAAGGGUAGCAGCCAGACUGCAAAAAGGGAGAAGAAACCAGCUACCUCUUGCUGUUCUCAGUGGCAGACUCCCCACCUGCAACAGGUCAGGUCUGUUACUGGAGAGAAAAGACAGGACAUUUUUAAAUUCUAGGUAUAGAGCAAUAAAAGAAGAAUUCAAGCAAAGGGAUCAGGAAGAGGAUUGCUACUAAGAGGCAGAGAAACCAAUGAAGCCUUUUGCCAUCUCACACUGGAAAGACAAAAAGUCAUAGAGGCUUGAUUUUUAUAAGGAAAGAGAAGUGAGAAACUGACCUCGAUACUUUGUUGGACUUGCCUAAAGACAUUUGCUGAAUUCUCGGGCUGUGCUGGGAUGGAGAUUAGAGGCCAAAUAAAAACCUCUGGUAAGUAGUGCACAGGUUUUGGUAAUCACUUAUUGCUGAAAAGGGAGGUAUUAGAUGUCAGACCUCCAUAAG